Molecule: non-coding RNA, 511 nt
Organism: Ciona intestinalis (vase tunicate)
Lineage: Eukaryota; Metazoa; Chordata; Ascidiacea; Phlebobranchia; Cionidae
Source: RefSeq, a predicted model, not a curated record
AUGGUUUCUGACAUAUGUUUGCAACGGACCUUCGGAUAAAAUAGAAAUAUUUUGUUGGGUGAUGCAACUACAUUACUAUUUUAUUAUGUAACGGCUUAAAAUUAAACCAGCCACAGUGAGCCUGCUAGUGGUACAGGUGAUACUCCCCGUCUCAUCAAUAUAUAUUAUUUUGCACUUGUAGUCAUGAAACAGACAAAUUGUGCAUUUGUUUUAAAUAAUUUCAGAUCCUCUUAGACUACUUGGGGACAUCAGAUCAAAUAUUUUCGAAUACGAUUGUGUCCAAGAACUUUUAACAAGUAGCUGAUACUGGAAACCUCUUUGCGGAUCCGCACUCAUAAUGGCAACCAUAAUGAAACUGAGCAGCUAGUUAUUGAGGCAUACCAAAUUUUACAUCAGCAUUCAUACAAAAACUUGUGUAUUGCAUGUACAACUUCUUCAUAUGUUUUUUUUUUUUUUAUACUGUAUUAAUAUAAUUUUUAUAGUACUGAUGCAUCUUUAUGAAACAUCUGGG